RNAcentral lists this ribosomal RNA (483 nucleotides) under uncultured bacterium. Its description in RNAcentral is "partial 16S ribosomal RNA". It matches the Rfam family "Bacterial small subunit ribosomal RNA", at positions 28 to 523 of the family's 1533-position model. The record is from RNAcentral.
GACGAACGCUGGCGGCGUGCUUAACACAUGCACGUCGAACGAUGCAGCUGGAGCUUGCUCCGGCGGAUUAGUGGCGAACGGGUGAGUAACACGUGAGCAAUCUGCCCUUCACUCUGCGAUAACUGCGGGAAACUGUACCUAAUACCUGAUACGAUACCUUGGGGCAUCCCAGGGUCUGCAAAGAAUUUCGGUGAAGGAUGAGCUCGCGGCCUAUCAGCGAGUUGGUGAAGUAAUGGCUGACCAAGGCGAUGGCGGGUAGCCGCCCUGAGGGGGCGACCAGCCACACUGGGACUGAGACACGGCCCAGACUCCUACGGGAGGCAGCAGUAGGGAGUAUUGGGCAAUGGGCGCAAGCCUGACCCAGCGGCGCCGCGUUAGGGAUGAAGGCCUUCGGGUUAUAAACCUCUUUCAGUAGGGAAGAAGCGAAAGUGACGGUACCUAAAGAAGAAGCACCGGCUAACUAUGUGCCAGCCGCCGCCGUAA